CAUUAUCCACCACCUUGGGAGCAAAUUUCUUCACGGCGUCGCUGACUGUCAGGAAUAUCUUGUCUUCACCAAUCAGUUCUGUGAAUUUCGCUGCGCGGAGCUUCUGGAUCACGUCUGGUCCGGGAUUGGCAAGAACCAGCUGUAAGUGAUAGAAAGACGUUUUGAUUUUAGUGAAGGGUUUCUUCCAUGAACAUUUUUGUGGUAGCAGACUAGCAAUACCGCAGCUAGACCACUAAUAGCUGUAAAGUUUGAUUCGGCUAUUUACCUGAAUCUUGCGCUUUUCAAGUGCUUUUAAUAACUCCUCCAAGGCGUGGAUUCCGCUCGUGUCGAUGUCAAUUACAGCUGUUCAGAGUUAAAGCAAUUUUCUGAAUCACUACCUGUAGUUUAUAUUAUAAAAAGAAUACUGCCUUGUUUGAGACAAAAUGAUGUUCUUACGAGAUAGUUCAACAAUCAGAAACUCAAUUUUGGCUAACUUCUGGUCCUUUUGUUGUUCCUCCUCAUCUCUGAGCCAUCUCAGGAUCCUGAAAAAUAUAUUGUAAUGAUGCAUUUUUUUCUCUCUCUCUAACUACUUUCAAAAUCAUAACACACUUCCGUUAUAGUAUAAUGCACCUAAUUUAAUAUUUCUCGAAUCGCACCUAAUUUAAUCUUAUGCUGUUAAAAUAUUCAUCUUAUAAUGUGUUUACACAUGAAGCCAAUUCUAGAAAAGCUUCUAAUGUAAUCAUGCACUUUCUUUGAAAGGAACUGCAAGUUGUCUUUCUGCUUCUGAAGAUCAUAUAACAGCUUUAGCAUUGAUGUUACCUUCCAAAUUAAGAAAUUAUCAGUUCGAAUGGAAAAAAACAAUAAUGCUGGUAAUCACAUCAUCUAGUUUUAUUUCAAAAUUUUCAAAGUGUAAUUCAAUGGACGGAUCUAAAAUAUAACUUAGUGCUUGGCAUGCCAAAUCCUUAUCUGUCACAUGUUGACCUGGAUGGAAAAGGGUUUAUUGAUAUUUAUUGCAAGCAUCAGCAUCCUAUCCUUUAUUUUUGAUAUUUAAGUUAUUUAUAAAUGCCUCAGGUUCACCUCAUUUUAUCAAAAGAAGCUGUAUCGGUGACAAGUAUAAAAAUACGCCACUCUGAAACCUUAUAAUAGUAGUCUUUGCAGUAACAGAAGCAACUUUUGAUUACAAGCAUUUUUACCUCUCUUUAACAUAGUUGGAGUUUGUGAAGUAGAUAGCUGAGUCCACUCUAACAAUUAGCACCCCUGGAACCUUGGUGGCAUCUGGAUAUUGUUCAACAUUCCUGUAUAAAGUUGUUCGUGGAAGGUUUCCGAGUAAAGCUGUUCUUGGCCGUGUUACUUGGAGAAGAAUUUUAGCAAGUGAUAUCGCAACCUAUUCACAAAAAAAAUUCAACAGUCAAAAUCUAUUCGUCUACUAUACCAGAAUUCAAUUGUUGGUAGCAUAUAAGAAAUGGUUGUGAUUCACACCGCAAUGAGCAAGCCAUAUUCCACUGAUGAAAAUAUGACACCGAGGAAUGCUCCCAGACAUGCUAGAAAGUCCAAUUUAUCAACUUUCCAGACAAGGUAGGCUGACUCAUAGUCAAUUAGGCCAAGCACCGCUGAUAUGAUGAUAGAGGAAAGGAUGGCAUUGGGAGUGUACUUGAACAAUGGGGUGAUCAACAGCAGUGUAAGCAUUACAACAAUUGCCAUAACAACAUUUGAUACUGCUGUUUUGCAGCCAGCCAUGUAAUUAACUGCUGACCGUGAGAAAGAACCUAUGGGGAACAACUUCUGUCAGAAAAAUGGCACAUCUGUAUGGG
Molecule: long non-coding RNA, 1790 nt
Filed under: Setaria italica (foxtail millet)
Lineage: Eukaryota; Viridiplantae; Streptophyta; Magnoliopsida; Poales; Poaceae
Description: long non-coding RNA (SITA_LNC007345)
Source: RNAcentral